This 524-nucleotide ribosomal RNA is filed under the name uncultured bacterium. RNAcentral's name for it is "partial 16S ribosomal RNA". It matches the Rfam family "Bacterial small subunit ribosomal RNA", at positions 33 to 541 of the family's 1533-position model. The record is from RNAcentral.
AUUGAACGCUGGCGGCAUGCUUUACACAUGCAAGUCGAACGGCAGCGCGGGCUUCGGCCUGGCGGCGAGUGGCGAACGGGUGAGUAAUACAUCGGAACGUGCCCAGUAGUGGGGGAUAGCUCGGCGAAAGCCGGAUUAAUACCGCAUACGACCUGAGGGUGAAAGCGGGGGAUCUUCGGACCUCGCGCUAUUGGAGCGGCCGAUGGCAGAUUAGCUAGUUGGUGGGGUAAAGGCCUACCAAGGCGACGAUCUGUAGCUGGUCUGAGAGGACGACCAGCCAGGGGGCGGAGAGGUACACGCACGAGCAGCGAGGGGGGCGGGAGGAGGGAGUGUGGGGGCAGGGUGCGAAAGCUGGAACCAGCAAGGCCGGGUGUGUGAGGAAGGCCUGAGGGUUGAAAAGGCGUUGUGGCGGGAACGAGAAGGACGGGGCAAAGAGGGCGGUGCGAAGACGGUACCCGAAGAAUAAGCACCGAAUAACGCCGUGCCAGCAGCCGCGGUAAUAAUAGAAGAGCACACGUCUCAUC